RNAcentral lists this ribosomal RNA (436 nucleotides) under Nannocalanus minor Type I. Its description in RNAcentral is "partial 16S large subunit ribosomal RNA". Lineage: Eukaryota; Metazoa; Arthropoda; Copepoda; Calanoida; Calanidae. The record is from RNAcentral.
AAAUAUUUUUAAGAUACCUGCUCAAUGAAUUUUUUAAAUACCCGCUUUAGUGCUAAGGUAGCAUAAUAAUUAGUUUUUUAAUUGAAAAAUAGAAUGAAUGGUUUUACUAAAAUUGAUAUUUUAAAAUAAUUAAACAAAAUUUUAAUUUUAGUGAAAAUACUAAAAUAAUAUUUUUAGACGAGAAGACCCUAUGAAGCUAAAAAUCACUAUAAAAAUUAUAAAUUUAUCAGAUUUAUUUUUUGGGGAAAAAAUUAAUAAAUAUAUUAAUAAUCAUUUAUAAAAACUUAUCCUUCUAGGAAUGUUGAAAAAGCUCCUCUAGGGAUAACAGCAUAAUAUUUAUUAGAGUUCUUAUCAGAAUAAAUGUUUGUGACCUCGAUGUUGAAUUAAAUAUUUUUAUAUGUGCAGGAGCUUAUAAAAAAAGGUCUGUUCGACCUGA